GUUAGGGGCUUGUAGCUCAGUUGGUUAGAGCGCGCGCUUGAUAAGCGUGAGGUCGGAAGUUCAAGUCUUCCCAGGCCCACCAUUUCGAUCGAGUGCAGCGCAUUCGUCUUCUGGUUACGGGGCCAUAGCUCAGCUGGGAGAGCGCGUGCUUUGCAAGCAUGAGGUCGUCGGUUCGAUCCCGUCUGGCUCCACCAGAUGGUUUGAUCAUCGACACUCAACCGUCGUCCGCGAAACAUCACUUCGCACUCACUAGUCUGGAUAGACAGUGACGUGCGUGUNUUCUGACAUCGUAAAGAGGAGAU
Molecule: transfer RNA, 302 nt
Filed under: uncultured Pseudomonadota bacterium
Lineage: Bacteria; Pseudomonadati; Pseudomonadota
Description: uncultured proteobacterium partial 16S-23S ribosomal RNA intergenic spacer
Rfam family: tRNA (bases 6-79)
Source: RNAcentral